RNAcentral lists this ribosomal RNA (253 nucleotides) under uncultured bacterium. RNAcentral describes it as "partial 16S ribosomal RNA". It matches the Rfam family "Bacterial small subunit ribosomal RNA", at positions 524 to 776 of the family's 1533-position model. The record is from RNAcentral.
UACGAAGGGUGCAAGCGUUACUCGGAAUUACUGGGCGUAAAGCGUGCGUAGGUGGUUCGUUAAGUCUGUCGUGAAAGCCCCGGGCUCAACCUGGGAAUGGCGAUGGAUACUGGCGGGCUAGAGUGCGGUAGAGGAGAGUGGAAUUCCUGGUGUAGCGGUGAAAUGCGCAGAUAUCAGGAGGAACACCAAUUGCGAAGGCAGCUCGCUGGGACGUUACUGACGCUGAGACGCGAAAGCGUGGGGAGCAAACAGG